RNAcentral lists this ribosomal RNA (312 nucleotides) under uncultured bacterium. Its description in RNAcentral is "bacterial SSU rRNA". It matches the Rfam family "Bacterial small subunit ribosomal RNA", at positions 28 to 334 of the family's 1533-position model. The record is from RNAcentral.
GACGAACGCUGGCGGCGCGCCUAACACAUGCAAGUCGAACGGAACUUAAGAGAGCUUGCUUUCUUAAGUUUAAUGGCGAACGGGUGAGUAACGCGUGAGUAACCUGCCCUGGAGUGGGGGACAACAGUUGGAAACGACUGCUAAUACCGCAUAAUGUCAUUUAAGGGCAUCCUUGGAUGACCAAAGCUUAAUGUGCUGAAAGAUGGUCUUGCGUCUGAUUAGCUGGUUGGUGAGGUAACGGCUCACCAAGGCGACGAUCAGUAGCCGGUCUGAGAGGAUGAACGGCCACAUUGGGACUGAGAUACGGCCCAG